RNAcentral lists this long non-coding RNA (405 nucleotides) under Numida meleagris (helmeted guineafowl). Its description in RNAcentral is "lncRNA (ENSNMEG00000013844.1)". The record is from RNAcentral. Lineage: Eukaryota; Metazoa; Chordata; Aves; Galliformes; Numididae.
CACAAACACAGCACAGAUAAAAACAACACGUUCUUAAAGUUUCUUGUUCCUCCAAGAAUAAGAGGUGCUGGUUUAAUCUACAUCUCAGGUCAUCCAAGAAAAAAGUUCCGUGUUGGAUCCCCAUCUGCUCUACAACAAUCUGGAUGUUUGUCUCAGAGCUAUCUAAGACUUUCCUUGUGAGACUGCAAUCUCUGUGCUGACUCACUGGUGAAGGAGGAGAAGCUUUUUGCACAAGGUUUCAUACACAGCUCAGUUCUGGAUGUCCAUGCCAAAAUUACACUUUUUUUAACUUACACCAGAAGAUGAUUAGAGCUCACAUGUGAUCUUCCAUCUGACAAUCAGUUUAUAGAGACAUCUGACCAGAGACUUGAUGCAAAGCCAGCUGGAAGAAGUGGUAUCUUACAC